This 737-nucleotide long non-coding RNA is filed under the name Nicotiana benthamiana. Its description in RNAcentral is "long non-coding RNA (NBEN_LNC035134)". The record is from RNAcentral. Lineage: Eukaryota; Viridiplantae; Streptophyta; Magnoliopsida; Solanales; Solanaceae.
GAGAGGGCUGCCGAUUAGUGCAGCGGCGGCGCGGCAAGAUGCCGGAGAGGGACGCCGGAGAGGGCUGCCGAUUAGUGCAGCAACGGCCGCAGCGGAGAGGGUUUCGUUGGCGAUAAGCCACUAGCGUAUGAUACCAUGUAGAGAGUUUUGGGAGAAGUCCAAUUGUCUAUUGUUCACAAAAGUAUAUAUAUAGAGUAUAGAGAGGUAUCAAAUCCUAUCAACUAUUAGGACUAUAAAUCCUAAUCCUAUCAACUAUAGGACUAUAAAUCCUAAUUCUAUCAACUAUAGGACUGUACAUAAAUCCUAAUAGAGAAAUCUCUCAAAUCCUUUUCCGAAAUCCUCUCUAAAGAAAUCUCCCCCAUUUUUAGAACCUGUUUUUCUAAAAAUAACUUCUCCUUUAUAUAUCCUUCAGGUUCUCUCCAAAAAAACACCUCAAACCAAAAAUCCCCUCCCAAACCAAUUUGAUCCCUUUCUGAUGGAAAAAAGGGGCAAAUGGAGGGAGUAGAUUGACUUGAAUCCAAUCUAACGCUCCCCAUUUUUUCUCAUUUCCGUCUGGAGGGCAAAAAACCAAAGAAAAUCCAAGAGAGCAUGUGAGGAAGAGGGAAUCUUUCAUAAACGGUAAGAAAUGGCAAGAGGAGAGAAGGAGGGAACGCGUGGUCAUGAGAUUGGGGCUCACUCGCCCUGGUUUUAUACUGAAAUGAAGCUAGGAUUCGCUUCGGAGAAGAGGAACAGUGUUC